RNAcentral lists this long non-coding RNA (308 nucleotides) under Sorghum bicolor (sorghum). Its description in RNAcentral is "long non-coding RNA (SBIC_LNC003814)". The record is from RNAcentral. Lineage: Eukaryota; Viridiplantae; Streptophyta; Magnoliopsida; Poales; Poaceae.
UCAUGUGUCGCCAAUCCGGCGGCCUAUCAUGGAGGAGGAGGGAACUGGAGAAUCGCCUGCAGAUCAGCGACGAUCCGCUUUCCCAAGAGGCCAAGAGAGCUUGUUUUAAUUUGUUUGUCUGCUUGCUCGACUUGCAUCGACAGAGUUGUUGGACCGUUAGAUUUUUUUUAUUUGUUUAUUAAGAUUUUAUUUUUCACCAACAUGUGUCGGAGCAUAAGUUUUUCAUUAAGAGUAGAGUAUUUAAGAAAUCAGGAGGGGUUGCGCAUCUACUGAAAAUUAAUUAAGAAAACUGAGAGUUUGUACUGCUU